GUGAGGACUAAGCAGAGCAGUCAACAGGGGGCCAGAAGCCCUGGAUCUGGUCUCAAGAAGCACAGGAAAGGAGACAAGAGCACUGGAGCCCACCAUCUCUGGCAGACAGCUCAGAGACAAGACGUUCGCCAGCUCAAGCCACCUAAGCUUCUCCUCUUCCAGCCCCAGGAUGACAGGCUCUGUCAUCUAGGCAGACCAGGGUUUGUUUUUCUUCCACUUCUUACCAUGUGAUUGGGAGGAAGGACACCAAAACACCACCACCAACUUGCAGAGACAAAGUGGCGUGAAAAGAGUCCCCCAUUCUCCACUUCAGAUGGCUUGGCAUGCACUCAGGGGAUAACUCGGAGAUCUGCCAGGGA
Lontra canadensis (Northern American river otter) is the source of this 359-nucleotide long non-coding RNA. RefSeq lists it as uncharacterized. The transcript is spliced from 3 exons. NCBI's taxonomy places the organism in Eukaryota, Metazoa, Chordata, Mammalia, Carnivora, Mustelidae. The record is from RefSeq and is a predicted model, not a curated record.